This 1131-nucleotide ribosomal RNA is filed under the name Triticum aestivum (bread wheat). RNAcentral describes it as "partial small subunit ribosomal RNA". Lineage: Eukaryota; Viridiplantae; Streptophyta; Magnoliopsida; Poales; Poaceae. The record is from RNAcentral.
AUGGAUGCUCUGGAGGCGAUUCCCCCACGGGAUGAUCCCGAGAAGAAACCAUGCGCGGAUGUGUAUGUCGACUCACAACACCAUUCCCUGACGACAUCGACGACGGACAUGGAUGUUGUCUCCAAGGUGCUUGACGAUGACAACCUCCUGAGAGAGAUCAUCCUUUGUGUCGGCUUCCCGACCACCCUCGUCCGUGCCUCUCUCGUCUGCAAGCGUUGGUACCACCAUGCCUCCGACCGCAAGUUCCUCAGCCGUUUCCAUGAGUGCAACCCGUCCCACCUCCUAGGCUUCUACCUCGAGGACACCGAUGAUCCAAGCGUGGCUGCACACUUCUUUCCGAUGCUGCCUCAACCUCCAGAGCUUGCAACUGUCAUCCGCACUGCGAGAUUCAGCUUGGACCCCCACCGGAGUGAAAUGUCCGACAUGAUGGGCUGCCGGAACGGCAACGUCCUCAUCAGCUUGUACGACGGCAGAGAUUUUACAGUUGGAGUGCACAGCCCGUUGCACCCCGAGAGAAGUUUGGUGGUCCUCCCGCCAUUCCCAGAGUUGCAAAUUCAGGACGGCUAUUUCUGUGGUAUGAAUGAUCUCCUCCUCUCCAAACAGGAAGGCGAUGGCUUGUCCUACAUUUAUGUGUUGGUGGAGUCUACAAUGGAGAGGACCAAAUCUAUGGUGCACAUAGAUGUGCUGCGAAAUGGUGACACUGUAUGGCGCAGACAUCUUGACUUGGCCACCGACCGAUUCCUUUGUCCGCGAUUUGAUCCAAAAGCUGUGCUCGCCGACGAUAAAAUCUAUAUAGCGAGUGCCCAGAGCGACAUUGUUGUCUUGGAUUUGAUGGGCUCAAGCAUCUCCACGAUUACCCUCCCACAAGGGGUGGAGUAUGGUGAUAGAGACACCAUGUUGGCAUGGGCCAAUAAUGCUUCUGGUGUGUAUCUCAGCCAUGCCAGGAAGCUUCAACUUUGCAUUUGGCUCCACAAGGGGGGCAACUGGUUGCUGGUGCACAGUAUUUGUUUGCGUGGGAUGGUUGCUAGUUUGAGGAUGACAGGUUGCGAGGAUGAGAAUGAGGCUACUGCUCCUCUCCGGAUAAACCAUGUGGGGGAUUAUGACGAGUUUGUUUUCUUGGAGAUGGGUUGA